UGGGGAAUAUUGCACAAUGGGCGAAAGCCUGAUGCAGCAACGCCGCGUGAGUGAUGAAGGCCUUCGGGUUGUAAAGCUCUGUCUUUUGGGAUGAUAAUGACGGUACCAAAGGAGGAAGCCACGGCUAACUACGUGCCAGCAGCCGCGGUAAUACGUAGGUGGCAAGCGUUGUCCGGAUUUACUGGGCGUAAAGGAUGCGUAGGCGGAUUUUUAAGUGAGAUGUGAAAACCCUAAGCUUAACUUGGGGACUGCAUUUCAUACUGGAAAUCUAGAGUGCGGGAGAGGAGAAUGGAAUUCCUAGUGUAGCGGUGAAAUGCGUAGAGAUUAGGAAGAACACCAGUGGCGAAGGCGAUUCUCUGGACCGUAACUGACGCUGAGGCAUGAAAGCGUGGGUAGCAAACAGGAUUAGAUACCCUGGUAGUCCACGCCGUAAACGAUGAGUACUAGGUGUAGGAGGUAUCGACCCCUUCUGUGCCGCAGUUAACACAAUAAGUACUCCGCCUGGGAAGUACGAUCGCAAGAUUAAAA
RNAcentral lists this ribosomal RNA (528 nucleotides) under uncultured bacterium. RNAcentral's name for it is "partial 16S ribosomal RNA". It matches the Rfam family "Bacterial small subunit ribosomal RNA", at positions 355 to 899 of the family's 1533-position model. The record is from RNAcentral.